UUUGGUAAAAUCGAUACAGUUCUACUUCUUCCAACUAAGAAAACGGUUCUAUACAAUUAUCAAUAAGCAAACCAUCCACAACAAAAGAGAGGGGGAAAACUAGGAGAAAGGAAACAAAUAAUAGAACUUUCACACACAUGCAGAGAGAAAUUAUUAUUAGGUAUUCCUCUCUUUAACUCUUUAAUUGUCAGCAGCCCUGAAGAUGGACAACAAAGAGAGGAACAAAUUGAUAACGUCUAGAUACAAGCAUAUAGCAGCCCAGAUGUACUCAUCAUAAGUGUACCGCUUGAUUAGAUUGUCUGUAUCAUAGACAAUGUACCCACAGAAUAUGAUCGACGCAAGACACCCAUAGAUCAUCACUGAGAUCUUACCCAGAGGGAAAAGAAUCUGGAUGAAGGAAAACAACAGAAGAACAAUAAGAGCACCAAACAAAAAAGGUCCCAGGAAGUUGAAAUCUUGGCCUCUUUUAGCCGCCCAGAAGGUGUAUAAUGUCAGACUAAUCACUACCGCUGUUGUCAGUAUGACUGCCUCCAGAAUUACUUUGCCGCUGGUGAAUGCGCAAGUCAAUCCGAUAGUAAAGGCAAGAGAAACCGUGAACAAUCCAAGAAGCAAGUAGUUAACCGGAUGUUUCUGGUGAUAGUAAUACAACGGGCACAACGUGAUAAAUGGAGUGAUGAUGAGUACAAUAUAAAGUGCUAAGCCUGCAUUUGUGGCUGCAAAGAAGUGUGAAAUUGGAUGAACGGUGACGACGACAGAGGCGACCGCAAUAGUCAGAAGCAACUGUAUAGAAAUAAUCGAGUAUACUUUUCGAAUAAAAGACCACCGGAGUUCAGGACUUUCCAACAUCGCCGGAUACAAAGGCGCAGUGCCGAACUCCACGUCAUCUUUCCGGUAAGCCUCGUUCCACAUCUCUCAAAUUAUCGAAGAACUUGAACAAACUAUUUCUCACACUGAUUGUACGUUUG
This 965-nucleotide unclassified non-coding RNA is filed under the name Hevea brasiliensis (rubber tree). The record is from RNAcentral. Lineage: Eukaryota; Viridiplantae; Streptophyta; Magnoliopsida; Malpighiales; Euphorbiaceae.